GGGAAGGUGGCUCAGUGGUAGAGUGCUUGUCUUGCAUUCAUGAGGUCCUGGGUUCGAUUCCCCAAUAUCACA
Molecule: transfer RNA, 72 nt
Filed under: Dipodomys ordii (Ord's kangaroo rat)
Lineage: Eukaryota; Metazoa; Chordata; Mammalia; Rodentia; Heteromyidae
Rfam family: tRNA
About the family: Transfer RNA (tRNA) molecules are approximately 80 nucleotides in length. Their secondary structure includes four short double-helical elements and three loops (D, anti-codon, and T loops).
Source: Rfam by way of RNAcentral